RNAcentral lists this non-coding RNA (24 nucleotides) under Cricetulus griseus (Chinese hamster). Lineage: Eukaryota; Metazoa; Chordata; Mammalia; Rodentia; Cricetidae. The record is from RNAcentral.
UGGACAAACACCUCAUUCCAGCAG